Molecule: ribosomal RNA, 398 nt
Filed under: uncultured bacterium
Lineage: Bacteria
Description: partial 16S ribosomal RNA
Rfam family: Bacterial small subunit ribosomal RNA
Source: RNAcentral
AUACAUAGGGGGCGAGCGUUAUCCGGAUUUAUUGGGCGUAAAGCGCUAAACGGUGGCUUCGUAAGUCGAGAGUUAAAACUCAGGGCCCAACCCUGAGGCUGCUUUCGAAACUACGAAGCUUGAGUAUGGAAGAGGCAAGCGGAAUUGCCGGUGUAGCGGUAGAAUGCGUUAAUAUCGGCAAGAACACCAAAGGCGAAAGCAGCUUGCUGGGACAUUUCUGACACUAUAAUAGCGAAAGCGUGGGUAGCGAAUGGGAUUAGAUACCCCAGUAGUCCACGCUGUAAACGAUGGAUACUAAGCAUUGAGGGCUUCGACCCCCUCGGUGCUGGAGCUAACGCGUUAAGUAUCCCGCCUGGGAAGUACGGCCGCAAGGCUAAAACUCAAAUGAAUUGGCGGGG